This 458-nucleotide ribosomal RNA is filed under the name uncultured bacterium. Its description in RNAcentral is "bacterial SSU rRNA". It matches the Rfam family "Bacterial small subunit ribosomal RNA", at positions 28 to 507 of the family's 1533-position model. The record is from RNAcentral.
GAUGAACGCUGGCGGCGUGCUUAACACAUGCAAGUCGAACGUGAACCAGCAGCAAUGUUGGGGAAAGUGGCGGACGGGUGAGUAACACGUGGGUGACCUGCCUUGCAGGCGGGGGAUAACGAGGGGAAACCUUCGCUAAUACCGCAUAGGCUUACACUGAUGGGAAUGGUGUGGGUAAAACUUGGCGCUGCAAGAGGGGCCUGCGUCCGAUUAGCUAGUUGGUGAGGUAAAGGCUCACCAAGGCGAUGAUCGGUAGCUGGUCUGAGAGGACGAUCAGCCACACGGGAACUGAGAAACGGUCCCGACUCCGUACGGGGGGCAGCAGUGAGGAAUAUUGGGCAAUGGGCUAACGCCUGACCCAGCAACGCCGCGUGGAGGAUGAAGGUUUUGAUUGUAAACUCCUUUUGUGGGGAAGAGUGAGGACGGUACCCCAAGAAUAAGUCACGGCUAACUACGUG